This 108-nucleotide ribosomal RNA is filed under the name Ipomoea nil (Japanese morning glory). Lineage: Eukaryota; Viridiplantae; Streptophyta; Magnoliopsida; Solanales; Convolvulaceae. The record is from RNAcentral.
GGAUGCGAUCAUACCAGCACUAAUGCACCGGAUCCCAUCAGAACUCCGAAGUUAAGCGUGCUUGGGCGAGAGUAGUACUAGGAACGGGAAGUCCUCGUGUUGCAUCCC